UGGGGAAUAUUGCACAAUGGGCGCAAGCCUGAUGCAGCCAUGCCGCGUGUGUGAAGAAGGCCUUCGGGUUGUAAAGCACUUUCAGCGGGGAGGAAGGCGGUGAGGUUAAUAACCUCAUCGAUUGACGUUACCCGCAGCAGAAGCACCGGCUAACUCCGUGUCAGCAGCCGAGGUAAUACGGAGGGUGCAAGCGUUAAUCGGAAUUACUGGGCGUAAAGCGCACGCAGGCGGUCUGUCACGUCGGAUGUGAAAUCCCCGGGCUCAACCUUGGAACUGCAUUCGAAAAUGGCAGGCUAGAGUCGUGUAGAGGGGGGUAGAAGUCCAGGUGUAGCGGUGAAAUGCGUAGAGAUCUGGAGGAAUACCGGUGGCGAAGGCGGCCCCCUGGACGAAGACUGACGCUCAGGUGCGAAAGCGUGGGGAGCAAACAGG
RNAcentral lists this ribosomal RNA (429 nucleotides) under Chloroflexota bacterium. RNAcentral's name for it is "Chloroflexi bacterium partial 16S ribosomal RNA". It matches the Rfam family "Bacterial small subunit ribosomal RNA", at positions 355 to 776 of the family's 1533-position model. Lineage: Bacteria; Bacillati; Chloroflexota. The record is from RNAcentral.